UGAGGAAUAUUGGUCAAUGGACGCAAGUCUGAUGCAGCAACGCCGCGUGAACGAUGAAGGUCUUCGGAUCGUAAAGUUCUGUUGCAGGGGAAGAUAAUGACGGUACCCUGUGAGGAAGCCCCGGCUAACUACGUGCCAGCAGCCGCGGUAAUACGUAGGGGGCUAGCGUUAUCCGGAUUUACUGGGCGUAAAGGGUGCGUAGGUGGUCUUUCAAGUCGGUGGUUAAAGGCUACGGCUCAACCGUAGUUAGCCUCCGAAACUGGAAGACUUGAGUGCAGGAGAGGAAAGUGGAAUUCCCAGUGUAGCGGUCAGAUGCGUAGAUAUUGGGAGGAACACCAGUAGCGAAGGCGGCUUUCUGGACUGCAACUGACACUGAGGCACGAAAGCGUGGGUAGCAAACAAG
This 403-nucleotide ribosomal RNA is filed under the name Verrucomicrobiota bacterium. RNAcentral describes it as "Verrucomicrobia bacterium partial 16S ribosomal RNA". It matches the Rfam family "Bacterial small subunit ribosomal RNA", at positions 355 to 776 of the family's 1533-position model. The record is from RNAcentral. Lineage: Bacteria; Pseudomonadati; Verrucomicrobiota.